Molecule: long non-coding RNA, 2295 nt
Organism: Octopus sinensis (East Asian common octopus)
Lineage: Eukaryota; Metazoa; Mollusca; Cephalopoda; Octopoda; Octopodidae
Exons: 2
Source: RefSeq, a predicted model, not a curated record
AAUCCUGAAUCGGUUCAACUUUGUUAUUGAGAUGAGUUAGAAUUCACAGUUAUGUUGUCUAUGAAAUAGUUUACAUUUUUCUGUUGUAUUGCAAAUUGACACAAAUAUAAAAGCACUAAGAAUGAUUCUUGCUGGUUACAAGUAUCAAGUCUGCAGGCCUACAGAUCUAUUUUAACUGGGCUAGUUUAACUUGUCAUCCUCUCAGCAUUAAUAAAAUAAGUGGUCAGCAUUUCAGCUUCUUCUUAUAUAUGAGGGGCUCAAACAUAUUAGGGUGUCCAGCAUUUCAGCUUUUUGUAAUAUAUGAGGGCCUCAAACAUAUUGGGGUGUCCAGCUGAACUGAGUCUUUGAUACAGCAUGUUUGCAGCAGGUCAUUGUUGGAAGUCUGUGCUAUCUUUGGAAAACAAAAUCUGCACUGAUUUAUUGUUCUUACCCAGAGCCAGUCAGGAGUAAAGCAUCUGCCAGCCGUUUGAUAGUAUUACUAUGCCAUCCAAUUGUGGUUUCAUUUCAGUUGGAAAGUUGAAAAAAAAAAGAAGCCCUCCUAAGAAGCAAAGUCCUAUUAAAUCCCUAUACUGUUACUAAUAUUGAGGCAGUGUGCUUGCAGAAUUGUUAGAACAUCAUGCAAAAUGCUUAAUGGUAUUUCUGCUGGUUCUUUACAUCCCUAGUUCAAAUCCUACCAAGAUCAACUUUGCCUGAAUCCUUUCAGGAUUAGGAUUGAUAUAAUAAAGGACCAGUCAAGUACGGUGGAGUGAGACUGUCAGUGUAAUUGAUUAGCCCCUCCUUCCCAACUCCUCUAAAAUUACUGGCCUUGUACCAAAAUUUGAACAAUAUUGAGGCAGUGGAUUGGCAGAAUUAUUAAAAUGACAGGCUGAAAGCCUUGUGAUAUUUAGUUUCACAGUUUUAAACUUUGUUUUUCAUUCUUCAAAAGAAAUAUCAGUCAAGAAUUGGGGGUUGAUGUCAUCAAUGAUACCUAUUUCCUAAAGUUGAGGUUUUAACAGAAUUGGUACAUCACUGUACAAAAUGUCCCUUUGGUGGUAAUUUUAAUACUUCCCAGAGUCAUCUUUACUUUCAUUGUUCCUAGGUCAAUGAAAUAAGGACCAGUCGAGAUCUGGGGUUGAUCUUCAUUAACUGUACCUUACUCCUAAAAUUUUAAGUCCUGGUACUCUGGCUGAAUCGUUAGCAUGCUGGGCGAAAUGCUCAGUGGUAUUUUGUCUGCUGCUACGUUCUGAGUUCAAAUUCCGCCGAGGUCGACUUUGCCUUUCAACCUUUCAGGACCGAUUAAAUAAGUACCAGUUAUGCACUUAAUUCCUUUGUCUGUCCUUGGUUGUCUCUUGAGGACAAUGAAAAAAAUAAAUAUUUAGGCAGCAGUUUAACAGAGUUGAUAGAAAGUUGUACAAAAGACCAUACUGUAUUUUGUUGUGCUUCUUAAUGUUGUAGUUUCAAAUCCUACCAAGGUUAGCUCUUGCAUUCAUAUUCAGGGGUUGAUAAAAUAUUUCCAUAUAUCAGACAGGUACUGAAGCCGAUCUCACUUGACUAGACCCUACUCCUGAAAUCUGAAGCUCAUAGUACAAAUCAAUAUUAGUGCUUGUAGUAAGGUGGCAAGCUGGCAGAAUCAUUAGCAAUCUGGGCCAAAUGCUUAGUGGCAUUUUCUCUAUCUGCACGUUCUGAGUUCAAAUUCCACUGAGGUUGACUUUGUAUUUUAUCCUUUUGGUGUUGAUAAAAUAGGUACCAGUUGUGCACUGGGGUCAAUGUAAUCUACUUACUCCCUCCUCGAAACUUGCUGACCUUGUGCCAAAAUUUAAAACCAAUAUUAGUACUGUAGUGUUCCUGAGGAAUCAUCAACAUCAUCAUUAUCAUUAUCAACUCCUGGAUUUUACCGCUUCAAGUCUUCAAACUCAUUGGACUGAUUACCUAUUUCCCAUGGUGUAGAAGAAUGGCCUUUACAUUAACGUGUGUUUGAUUUUUGACAGUAAUACCAAUUAGCUCUUCUCUAAAACUGUUUUAAAAUUCUAGUUAGAUCUCAGGGUAGAAGCAGUUAUUUUUUUUACAUUUCUUGGCAAAGAAUGAAAAUAAAUGAUAAGCACCCACUAUUACCAACUGACAAAAAAAAAAAAAGAAAGAAAAAAUAAAAAAAAAAUGAAUAAAUGAAAAACAUUGUCUUGUAAAAGUAUUGUAAAAUGAAACAAUGUAUGUAAUUAUAUAUGGAGAAACAUGAAGUCUGAUAGGUGUGAGGUUUAUUUAAAUGCUUGUAUGGGAAAUAAAGAAAUUGAAAAAAAAGUCUUUUUAAUGAAAAAAUAA